AAUACUUAUAAUCACUUUUUUAGCAAAUAAAAUCCAAUUACUUUAAUGAUUAAGACUUAGUUUCGUAUUCAGAUGGAUCUAAUGCCAUUAGAUAGAAUAGAGUUGAGAAAAAAAAUAUAAAGAUAUGUUUCUGCGUUCUCCGAUGGGAUCGCAAAAAUAUAUCUUAACUGACGAACCGCAAUAUGUGGAACGCAAUAAUACGUACGGAAACAAACAGGGUAUUUUUUCAUCGUCGUUUUUCAUCGCACGUAACGUAAUCUCCUUGUAAUCCCAAACGAAGCCUUGAAGGGCCAAUUACAUAAUUUAUUGAU
This 311-nucleotide long non-coding RNA is filed under the name Ananas comosus (pineapple). RNAcentral's name for it is "long non-coding RNA (ACOM_LNC007771)". The record is from RNAcentral. Lineage: Eukaryota; Viridiplantae; Streptophyta; Magnoliopsida; Poales; Bromeliaceae.